RNAcentral lists this ribosomal RNA (277 nucleotides) under uncultured bacterium. RNAcentral's name for it is "partial 16S ribosomal RNA". It matches the Rfam family "Bacterial small subunit ribosomal RNA", at positions 335 to 630 of the family's 1533-position model. The record is from RNAcentral.
UGCCUACGGGGCGCAGCAGUGGGGGAUAUUGCACAAUGGGGGGAACCCUGAUGCAGCGACGCCGCGUGGGCGAUGGAGCGCCUCGGCGCGUAAAGCCCUAUCAGCAGGGAAGAAGAUGACGGUACCUGACUAAGAAGCCCCGGCUAAAUACGUGCCAGCAGCCGCGGUAAUACGUAUGGUGCAAGCGUUAUCCGGAAUGACUGGGUGUAAAGGGAGCGUAGACGGUUGUACAAGUCUGAUGUGAAAGCCCACGGCUCAACUGUGGGAGUGCAUUGGA